GAUGAACGCUAGCGGAAGGCUUAAUACAUGCAAGUCGAGGGGCAGCGCAGUGUAGCAAUACAUGGGCGGCGACCGGCAAACGGGUGCGGAACACGUACGCAACCUUCCUUUAAGCGGGGGAUAGCCCAGGGAAACUUGGAUUAAUACCCCGUAAUAUUAUGAAGUGGCAUCACUUUAUACUUAUAGCUCCGGCGCUUAAAGAUGGGCGUGCGACUGAUUAGGUAGUUGGCGGGGUAACGGCCCACCAAGCCUGCGAUCAGUAACUGGUGUGAGAGCACGACCAGUCACACGGGCACUGAGACACGGGCCCGACUCCUACGGGAGGCAGCAGUAAGGAAUAUUGGUCAAUGGACGCAAGUCUGAACCAGCCAUGCCGCGUGGAGGAUGAAGGUCCUCUGGAUUGUAAACUUCUUUUAUUUGGGAAGAAACCCACUGUUUCUACGGUGGUUGACGGUACCAGAUGAAUAAGCACCGGCUAACUCCGUGCCAGCCGCCGCUGUAA
RNAcentral lists this ribosomal RNA (502 nucleotides) under uncultured bacterium. RNAcentral describes it as "partial 16S ribosomal RNA". It matches the Rfam family "Bacterial small subunit ribosomal RNA", at positions 28 to 523 of the family's 1533-position model. The record is from RNAcentral.